UUACCUUGAAGAACAUAAGCCACUUUAGCUGAAUCAGAGUAUCGAGGAAGAGCAAAGCCAUCCUUUUCAAGAGCAAGUUUGGCUGCACCAAUAUUACCUUCACGUAGCAUUGCUAGUUCUGAAGGACACCAAGCAUGGUACGAUCCACCAUCUCCUCCAUACACUUUCUUUGCCAAUCUGGGUGAUAAAUCAAUCUCCAUCUUCAUAUUUUCUUUGUAACUAAAUGAGAAAACUCUGUUUUUAAUUGAUAUAUUUUGAUAUGAUAUUCUGAUGUGUAGAUGCAAAACAGAAGCCCUGUAUUUAUAGAUAUAGCAAACAGAGUAUUUACUGUGGAUAAGUAUAAAGCUAACAGAAAUUCUAUCCGACUCUGAUAAUUCUGAUACUCAGAUAUACAAAAUUUGAUACAGAUUGGAUUAGGAUUUAGUGUCGAUUUUAACUACUUAAUAUCUAUUAUCUGUUUUUUCUUUUUAAGAAAAAAAAAAAUCUGUUGUGUUAUUAUCCUAAUUCUCGCCAAUAAAAUCAUUAUACAAUUAUGAGUAAUAUGUAUUUUACAAAUUACUCUUAAAAAAGGGCAACUGUUAUUGUUGUUGACAUAUAAAGCUUAUUUUCCUUAUUAGAAAAAGGGUAAAUCAAAACAAAAACAAUAUAAAAUAUCUUUUUUUCCUAAUUUUCUUCAUAGAAUCAUAAACAUCACGCUUAUUUUAUCUUUCAAGAAAUUUAAAAAAAAAUGGAUAAAUAAAUUGAAUGAUACUUUUUCCAAAUUAAUAAAUUAUUGAUCUAUUGAUUAAUUAAUAUCUAAUCUAUAGGGGUCAGGUUGAAUUCAUAAAGUAAUUUUCAUUCGUAAUAUCAUAAAUAAAUAACAUAUUUUAUG
This 871-nucleotide long non-coding RNA is filed under the name Ricinus communis (castor bean). RNAcentral's name for it is "long non-coding RNA (RCOM_LNC003386)". Lineage: Eukaryota; Viridiplantae; Streptophyta; Magnoliopsida; Malpighiales; Euphorbiaceae. The record is from RNAcentral.